This 406-nucleotide long non-coding RNA is filed under the name Mus musculus (house mouse). Its description in RNAcentral is "long non-coding RNA chr1:121087526-121087932". The record is from RNAcentral. Lineage: Eukaryota; Metazoa; Chordata; Mammalia; Rodentia; Muridae.
UUGAAGGCAAAAGUCCACUCUAAAGUGAAGGUGAGUUUGCACUGGCUGUAAGUGGAAGAAGGGGAGAAAAGAAAUGGGGGUGGGGCGGGGGGUGUCCAUGAUCUGCAACUGACCUUGAAUGGGUUAAUGUGCUCAGUGUGUCCUAGAGAAGGAAGAGGCCUUGCUGGUAACCAGCUCCCGCAGAGGCACAUCCCCACCCUUCAGAAGACCCUUAAUGCGAACGUUAAUGGUAUUUCUCAGGUUUCCUCUGGACCAGUCUUUGCCGCUGCUGUGUUUGUUCCCAGCCUCACUCCGAGUCAAGGAAGCACCUGAAUCCACAAGAGGCUAAUGCACUUCUUAGAUACUUUUUUGGGGGAGACAAGUUUCCUGUCUUUUGUCCUUGAUUUAUUAUUGCUUUUAUUUGUUC